Molecule: ribosomal RNA, 489 nt
Filed under: uncultured bacterium
Lineage: Bacteria
Description: partial 16S ribosomal RNA
Rfam family: Bacterial small subunit ribosomal RNA
Source: RNAcentral
AUUGAACGCUGGCGGCAGGCCUAACACAUGCAAGUCGAACGGUAACAGGAAGAAGCUUGCUUCUUUGCUGACGAGUGGCGGACGGGUGAGUAAUGUCUGGGAAACUGCCUGAUGGAGGGGGAUAACUACUGGAAACGGUAGCUAAUACCGCAUAACGUCGCAAGACCAAAGAGGGGGACCUUCGGGCCUCUUGCCAUCGGAUGUGCCCAGAUGGGAUUAGCUAGUAGGUGGGGUAACGGCUCACCUAGGCGACGAUCCCUAGCUGGUCUGAGAGGAUGACAGCCACACUGGAACUGAGACACGGUCCAGACUCCUACGGGAGGCAGCAGUGGGGAAUAUUGCACAAUGGGCGCAAGCCUGACGCAGCCAUGCCGCGUGUAUGAAGAAGGCCUUCGGGUUGUAAAGUACUUUCAGCGGGGAGGAAGGGAGUAAAGUUAAUACCUUUGCUCAUUGACGUUACCCGCAGAAGAAGCACCGGCUAACUCCGUG